AUGUUUCUUGCCCUCUUACGGUAUCUGGUAAUGACGUACGGUACCAUUAGGAAGACAUUUCUAAGCCCAAAAGAUUGUUGGAAAUUAUUUAUUCUAUUGAUAUUGAUUAGCUCCCUUAUUACUUGCUUUUUCAAUUUAAAAUUAGAAAUUGUGCCAAGCACGAAAUGGCGGCCCCCGAGCAGCUGCACCAUGUACCCCGCCAAUUCAACGUUUCCUGGCUUUGGAACUAUUCAAACUGACUUCUACAAGGAUUUUCCUGAAAUUUUCGAUAUAUUUACACUUUUUGACGGUAUCAAAAAUCUAGACGAAGUGUGGUGGCGCGACCUUGUCGCCCUACCCGCCCUGUAUCACGUGAGAUGUGCCUGAGGAGUAUUAUGCUUCUUGGCCUGUGCAUAGACUGAAUGUUAAGCCUAGUAAAUCCUGUACCGAUCUUGUGAGGGAAUGGGGGUUUGUUCGUGGACUACAAGUUAAAGCUGCUCCUGAUAUAGAAUAUAUCAAAGUAUUGAAUGAAAACGGUGGGGUAGCCCCAGGCAAACGUGAAUGGAUAGCGGUAGGUACACAACUAUAACUGAUAACUUUGUAUAUAUUUGAAUUUCUUUUAUUUAAUACUUAAUUUACAGAAGCCUAACUUUGGCGUGUCCCGAAAUAAAGUCGUUGGCUUUAGUCAUUGUUUGCCUAAAGCCUUGGUCCUCGGGAAGCUGGAAAGUGAUAUCAAGUUUUCGACGUGUUUGGUUGAGAAAAGUGAAUUGAAGAAAAAGAUAGACCGUUUACUGCAUUCGAGACUUGAAGAUCGGCUCAAUUGGCAAAUGAUGCUAGCGCAGAAUCUUUUGAGAGACGCAGGGCUAGAUGAACUUAAAACAGAAUAUGAAGUGGAGGACCUUGUCAAAAUAGCUGAUCAUUUAGCUAACUACCAGAUUGUUGUUUGGACUAUAGAUGGAGAUGGUCGAUACGUAGAUUUCGCAAUCAAGAUAAAAUUGAAUCCCCAUGGGAAACAGUUUAUAGGACUUUUCUAUUACGAAGAUCAAUAUGAGUCUGUAGAUUGGAGACGUGGAUACCCUGGUUAUAGGUUCUGUUACGCAUGUUCCACAUAUGGCGUGGUACUCGGUCAUAAGAUUUAUUGCAAACCCGUAUGUAGGAAAUGUGGUGACAAAUUAGGUUGGAGAUGUGUUGGGAUCUUUUGUGAAAGAUGUAAAACCUUCGUUGGAUCGUCCUCUUGA
RNA transcript from Caenorhabditis elegans, 1217 nucleotides. It is a transcript of the gene named Non-coding transcript of protein-coding gene srw-85, with no coding region annotated. The record is from RefSeq and is marked reviewed. NCBI's taxonomy places the organism in Eukaryota, Metazoa, Nematoda, Chromadorea, Rhabditida, Rhabditidae. The transcript is spliced from 4 exons.